This is a long non-coding RNA of Camelina sativa (false flax), 311 nucleotides long. RefSeq lists it as uncharacterized. The record is from RefSeq and is a predicted model, not a curated record. Lineage: Eukaryota; Viridiplantae; Streptophyta; Magnoliopsida; Brassicales; Brassicaceae.
AUAGGCUCUUCGUCUCCGCUUGCGUCACCGUCCUCACAUCUUGCUUACCGGAAACGAUGCGUUUAAUGUGUGGUAAGCAAACAUCAAAUUUGUACCAGUAAAGAUGUUUUAGAUGACAAUGAGAGCCACAGUCAGGUGACUAGUGUAAGGUGUAAAAGAGAUAGAGUAGACCUUUUCUUUUAAGGAACCCCACAAAAGAUACAACAAUCAUCUCCAUGUGGUGUUGGAGCUUCUUGGUGUUACCUUGUUGUUACCUCAACUUCACUCGAUGCAGUGCCAUGUAGGCUAUGAGUCGAUAACCAACCAACAUC